This 253-nucleotide ribosomal RNA is filed under the name uncultured bacterium. Its description in RNAcentral is "partial 16S ribosomal RNA". It matches the Rfam family "Bacterial small subunit ribosomal RNA", at positions 524 to 776 of the family's 1533-position model. The record is from RNAcentral.
UACGUAGGGUGCAAGCGUUAAUCGGAAUUAUUGGGCGUAAAGAGCUCGUAGGCGGUUUGUCGCGUCUGCUGUGAAAUCCCGAGGCUCAACCUCGGGUCUGCAGUGGGUACGGGCAGACUGGAGUGCGGUAGGGGAGAAUGGAAUUCCUGGUGUAGCGGUGGAAUGCGCAGAUAUCAGGAGGAACACCGAUGGCGAAGGCAGUUCUCUGGGCCGUAACUGACGCUGAGGAGCGAAAGCGUGGGGAGCGAACAGG